UCGGUGCGUAUCGGCAUGUUGUAUCCUGCUNGAGCAGCGACAACAUCUUGUGCGCACCUCUUCAUUCGUUGGCUCAAUGUUUUGGCCGAUGUCGGUUUCCUGUGUUGUAUACCUAUCGCGAAGGUAUUGCAUCGGCUCACACGUCCCGUUUCCRUCUUGUACUGCGUGCCCUUGUGGGUUUGUGGCAUGGGGUGGACCUUGAAGCAUGCGUCGUGUUCCACAUCUCAUACGCUCUGAAAUGUGUUUUGGGUUGUGGCCCAUGCCGUUGUGCUUGAUCUCGUGGGUGCAGAAAAUUCGGUGGGCAUGAGGAUCCCGUCCUCUAUUUGCCCAGAAAUAAGUAUUUUAUGAACGACGUCCGACCUCGUUUUGAAGCAGUCCUAGUGGCUUGACUCAUGCGGUGUCGGUGUCGGUGAGGAA
This 417-nucleotide unclassified non-coding RNA is filed under the name Phryma leptostachya subsp. asiatica. RNAcentral's name for it is "partial external transcribed spacer". Lineage: Eukaryota; Viridiplantae; Streptophyta; Magnoliopsida; Lamiales; Phrymaceae. The record is from RNAcentral.